AUAUCCCGUGCGGGAGAGUCCUCGGUCAUCACCGGGGCGCCGAAGGGGCAACUCCUCCCACCAAGCUCUCAGGCACCAGGACCGCACGGGCUGG
This 94-nucleotide non-coding RNA is filed under the name Marmoricola sp. Leaf446. Its description in RNAcentral is "Glycine riboswitch aptamer". It matches the Rfam family "Glycine riboswitch aptamer". Rfam says of the family: This family represents the bacterial glycine riboswitch. The record is from Rfam by way of RNAcentral. Lineage: Bacteria; Bacillati; Actinomycetota; Actinomycetes; Propionibacteriales; Nocardioidaceae. RNAcentral also lists the same sequence under 1 other name.